GUUGAAUAUCCGGUAUCGAUAUACCGAUAUUGAUUUAAUGGCGAUAUUUUCGGUAUAUCGGUAUACCGAACAGUCCUAAUUGUAACUUACCAUUUUAUUACCAGUUGAUUCAGGGUAUUCCGAGGGUACAGUGUCGACAGCAAUCCCUUCGUCGUCUUCGUCAAGACUCUCUGGUUUUGCUUUCUCCUUCGUUUUUGAGACGUCUUUAACCCUAGGUAGCACCUAAAACACGAAAGAUUUACAACAAACAACUUGUUAACGGCUUGUUGGCAGACUUGCUACAAUUCAC
This is a non-coding RNA of Paramuricea clavata, 289 nucleotides long. The record is from the annotation of a GenBank genome assembly. NCBI's taxonomy places the organism in Eukaryota, Metazoa, Cnidaria, Anthozoa, Malacalcyonacea, Plexauridae.